This 603-nucleotide long non-coding RNA is filed under the name Homo sapiens (human). RNAcentral's name for it is "HSALNT0035378". Lineage: Eukaryota; Metazoa; Chordata; Mammalia; Primates; Hominidae. The record is from RNAcentral.
ACUCAAGGUGGACUAAGAGAGAAAAGCGGCUCUGUUGGUUGUUGCUCAUUUGCGGAUGUUUUCCCUGCAAAACCACAUCAAAGCAGGGAAGCCCACCGUGGACUUGGCCAGAAACCAAAGCUUGCUGGCCAAUCUGAGAAGCAGCAAGUUUCAUCAGGUAGAAAACCAUUUUAUCUUCUGGGCCCAGAUUCCUCACUAGAGUGGAUGGAGGCGGAGCAUCUCCCAAGCAGCAAAGCUCUUCCUAAGCUCUGAGCUGGCGUAGGGAGCCCCCAACUUGGAGAGUCCUAUCGUGAGCAGGCAGGACUGAGAUGGGAGGUCUCCAGGAGAUUCCAGCAUUCAGGACACACAGAGGAACAUGGAGAGUCUCCCAGUGAAGAGUCUAUAUUGAUGUGAAAGCAGCUCAGGAUUUAGCAGGAUACAUGGAUUGGAGUGAUGCUGAUGUCACUGCUGGUGCUGACAGGGUCUCAACACCACCAUUCCAGCCUCCUCAGCAGCCUAUCCACUGUGAGAUCCAUGAGACUGCACCAACUCAAACGCGUUCCCUGGAAGUUGAGUUUUACAAUAAAUCUCCAAUAUGAACAUGCUUACCUGUUUUAUUCCUCU